Molecule: ribosomal RNA, 253 nt
Filed under: uncultured bacterium
Lineage: Bacteria
Description: partial 16S ribosomal RNA
Rfam family: Bacterial small subunit ribosomal RNA
Source: RNAcentral
UACAGAGGGUGCAAGCGUUGUUCGGAAUUAUUGGGCGUAAAGCGCGUGUAGGCGGCUUUGCAAGUCGGGUGUGAAAUCCCUCAGCUCAACUGAGGAAGUGCGCCCGAAACUGCAGAGCUUGAAUACCGGAGAGGAUGGCGGAAUUCCCCAAGUAGAGGUGAAAUUCGUAGAUAUCGGGAGGAACACCAGUGGCGAAGGCGGCUUCCUGGCCUGUUCUUGACGCUGAGGCGCGAAAGCUAGGGGAGCAAACGGG